GCCGCGGUAAUACGGAGGGUGCAAGCGUUAAUCGGAAUUACUGGGCGUAAAGCGCACGCAGGCGGUCUGUCAAGUCGGACGUGAAAUCCCCGGGCUCAACCUGGGAACUGCAUUCGAAACUGGCAGGCUAGAGUCUUGUAGAGGGGGGUAGAAUUCCAGGUGUAGCGGUGAAAUGCGUAGAGAUCUGGAGGAAUACCGGUGGCGAAGGCGGCCCCCUGGACAAAGACUGACGCUCAGGUGCGAAAGCGUGGGGAGCAAACAGGAUUAGAUACCCUGGUAGUCCACGCCGUAAACGAUGUCGACUUGGAGGUUGUGCCCUUGAGGCGUGGCUUCCGGAGCUAACGCGUUAAGUCGACCGCCUGGGGAGUACGGCCGCGAGGUUAAAACUCAAAUGAAUUGACGGGGGCCCGCACAAGCGGUGGAGCAUGUGGUUUAAUUCGAUGCAACGCGAAGAACCUUACCUACUCUUGACAUCCAGAGAACUUUCCAGAGAUGGAUUGGUGCCUUCGGGAACUCUGAGACAGGUGCUGCAUGGCUGUCGUCAGCUCGUGUUGUGAAAUGUUGGGUCAAGUCCCGCAAACGAGCGCAACCCUUAUCCUUUGUUUGCCAGCGGUCCGGG
This 619-nucleotide ribosomal RNA is filed under the name uncultured Enterobacter sp. RNAcentral's name for it is "bacterial SSU rRNA". It matches the Rfam family "Bacterial small subunit ribosomal RNA", at positions 514 to 1135 of the family's 1533-position model. Lineage: Bacteria; Pseudomonadati; Pseudomonadota; Gammaproteobacteria; Enterobacterales; Enterobacteriaceae. The record is from RNAcentral.